RNAcentral lists this ribosomal RNA (274 nucleotides) under uncultured bacterium. RNAcentral describes it as "partial 16S ribosomal RNA". It matches the Rfam family "Bacterial small subunit ribosomal RNA", at positions 523 to 796 of the family's 1533-position model. The record is from RNAcentral.
AUACGGAGGGCGCGAGCGUUAAUCGGAAUUACUGGGCGUAAAGCGUACGUAGGCGGUUUGCUAAGUCAGAUGUGAAAGCCCCGGGCUUAACCUGGGAACUGCAUUUGAUACUGGCAGACUAGAGUAUGAUAGAGGGGGGUAGAAUUCCUGGUGCAGCGGUGAAAUGCGUAGAUAUCAGGAGGAAUACCAGUGGCGAAGGCGGCCCCCUGGAUCAAUACUGACGCUGAGGUACGAAAGCGUGGGGAGCGAACAGGAUUAGAAACCCUAGUAGUCC